CCUACGGGAGGCAGCAGUGGGGAAUAUUGGACAAUGGGCGAAAGCCUGAUCCAGCAAUGCCGCGUGAGUGAUGAAGGCCUUAGGGUUGUAAAGCUCUUUUACCCGGGAUGAUAAUGACAGUACCGGGAGAAUAAGCUCCGGCUAACUCCGUGCCAGCAGCCGCGGUAAUACGGAGGGAGCUAGCGUUAUUCGGAAUUACUGGGCGUAAAGCGUACGUAGGCGGCUUUGCAAGUUAGAGGUGAAAGCCUGGAGCUCAACUCCAGAACUGCCUUUAAAACUGCAUCGCUUGAAUCCAGGAGAGGUGAGUGGAAUUCCGAGUGUAGAGGUGAAAUUCGUAGAUAUUCGGAAGAACACCAGUGGCGAAGGCGGCUCACUGGACUGGUAUUGACGCUGAGGUACGAAAGCGUGGGGAGCAAACAGGAUUAGAUACCCUGGUAGUCCACGCCGUAAACGAUGAUAACUAGCUGUACAGGGCACUUAGUGCUUUGGUGGCGCAGCUAACGCAUUAAGUUAUCCGCCUGGGGAUACGGCCGCAAGGUUAAAACCUUAAAGGAUUGACGG
Molecule: ribosomal RNA, 561 nt
Filed under: uncultured bacterium
Lineage: Bacteria
Description: bacterial SSU rRNA
Rfam family: Bacterial small subunit ribosomal RNA
Source: RNAcentral